Molecule: ribosomal RNA, 493 nt
Filed under: uncultured bacterium
Lineage: Bacteria
Description: bacterial SSU rRNA
Rfam family: Bacterial small subunit ribosomal RNA
Source: RNAcentral
GAUGAACGCUAGCGACAGGCCUAACACAUGCAAGUCGAGGGGCAGCACAAGGAGCAAUCUGAGGUGGCGACCGGCGCACGGGUGAGUAACACGUAUGCAACCUGCCUGUAAGCGGGGGAUAACCCGUUGAAAGACGGACUAAUACCCUAUAACACAGGGGUCCCGCAUGGGAAUAUUUGUUAAAGGACAACCGGUUGAAGAUGGGCAUGCGUUCCAUUAGCUAGUUGGCGGGGUAACGGCCCACCAAGGCAACGAUGGAUAGGGGGAACUGAGAGGUUUAUCCCCCACACUGGUACUGAGACACGGACCAGACUCCUACGGGAGGCAGCAGUGAGGAAUAUUGGUCAAUGGACGCAAGUUCUGAACCAGCCACGUUCGCGUGAAGGAAGACGGCCCCUACGGGUUGUAAACUUCUUUUUAUACGGGGAAUAAAGUGCCCCCACGCGUGGGGUUUUGACAUGUACCGUAUGAAUAAGGAUCGGCUAACUCCGUG